AUUCUUGUAGUUGAAUACAACAGUAGUUUUUCAGGCUACGGGUCUGGGUUAAAAUCCUUGUAAGAAUU
RNAcentral lists this transfer RNA (68 nucleotides) under Nyctimystes kubori (sandy big-eyed treefrog). Its description in RNAcentral is "tRNA-Glu". It matches the Rfam family "tRNA". Rfam says of the family: Transfer RNA (tRNA) molecules are approximately 80 nucleotides in length. Their secondary structure includes four short double-helical elements and three loops (D, anti-codon, and T loops). Lineage: Eukaryota; Metazoa; Chordata; Amphibia; Anura; Pelodryadidae. The record is from RNAcentral.